Molecule: long non-coding RNA, 5323 nt
Filed under: Sus scrofa (pig)
Lineage: Eukaryota; Metazoa; Chordata; Mammalia; Artiodactyla; Suidae
Description: lncRNA (ENSSSCG00000057450.1)
Source: RNAcentral
CCUGUGCACUCUUCAUCCAGGCUCUUCCCAUGAUAACAUCUUGCAUGAUUAAAAUACAACCUCAGAACAAGGAUGUUGGUAUUAGUUUUUCACUCUUUUCACUGAGCUAAAUAAAUUAAUGAAUUUACUCUAAGCUCUGCAAAUAUUACAUAAUUAUCUCUUUACAUAUGUAGGUGUUUAAGUGUGUGGGUGCAUGGUACGUGUGUGUGUGUGAAUGUGUGUAUAAAUAACUGUAUUUUAAAUAUAUGAAAAAUAGCUGUCUCAUUCCUUUUUCUUUCGCAUAAUUUAAAUAUUUACCUAUUAGCUCCUUGUUUAAAAGACUAUUCAUAGCUAAAUACUUAAUCAUACUAUAUUUAUAACCAUUCUUUACUUCCUUGCUUACUUCUUCUAAAGGUAUGUUUCUCAAUAAUAAUUAACUGGAUAAUAAAUAUCCUUUAUCCAGACUUAAUAUAAUGCGAUGAGUUUACUCUUGUCUUAAGUGUCUAAAAAUGCCCUCAGAAAUACUGCAUUGGGAGGACAAGUUAGGGAUUUUUUUGCUCUUGAAGGAUCAGGACCAAAUGCCUCAUAUAAAGUUUCCUGGAAACCAAUAAUAUUUAAUAAUAGAUAGCUUUCUCUUGGAAUUUGAUCUAGAGCUUAAUGUUUCAUUGCUAUUUCCAGUAUUAAUUACCAAUACCCUUACAGGACAGUAUUUAUAAGGUAAUUUGUUGCGCCAUUAACUUCGCAAUUCUCCUGACAAUGGCGUGGCUAAAUUUCACAUUCCAUUUUUUAUGGAAUAAAUUGUCUACACUAUUGAUGGGAAAUUAAUGAUAAAACGAAGAUUCUCUUUUGUUUUCCUUCUAUUUAUCUUAAGCCAUCUUUGAUUUUAUAUCCAACUUGCUGUAUUUUACAUCUAUAUACCCUUAGGUAAACAUGGGUAAGGAGACAUAGGUUUCAUUUUAGGCUUUGGCUUUCUUCAAAAUGGACUGUGUUUAUAAAUAAUAAGAGGUCUUAUAGAAAGUGGAAUGAGCCAGGCAUCUUCAGUUUUGUGUCUAGAAGCAGUCUUAGAGAAAAACAAUCAUAUUGGAAUGGAGGCAAUAUUUUGUCUUCAAGAGAAGCAAAAAAAUAUGGGGUGAAUCUUGGCACCCCUUCAAAUCUCUUACUUGCUGAAGGCUUUAGGAAUGAUAAAAUACAUUUAUAGGAAAUUUUAAGCUGGAUAAAUAUUGAAAAUUUGUCAAACUCUUUGAUAAUACCCAAAGAAUUAUUACCAGAUUGGUGAUAAUAAAUGAAAAAUAUAGAAUGACAAGAUAAGAGGAUUAGGAUAUUUUUCAAGCAUAUUUAGUGUUUCUAGCAUCCAUGCAAGUUUGUCAUUAUUACUUUUGCUUUAAAAAUAUGAAAAAGUAAAGUUCGGGAAACUUAAGCAACUUACCUAAAGUUGGAAAGGUAGAAAUGAUCACAGACAGAAAAUGAAUUUAGUUGUGAUUUCUCCAAAAACAUUUAAAUUGCUCCUUCCCCUAUAAAAACUGGAAUCUUCUUUAAGUGUUUGUUUUCAAUAAAUCCUGAAAAGUAAAUAUAAACAGGUAUCAUAAUUAUUUUUAAUAUCAAAACAACAAUUUAUAUACAGAAAUAAUGAAGCUUUUUUUAAAGGAACAUUCCAAUUAGUAAAAAAGAAAAGCUCAAACAAUUUCUGGUAACUUAGUUAUAUAUAUGAUUAUAACUUCCAGGACUCUGGGUAUGCUAGGUAUUCAGCAUCAAUAGAUAUUUGAACAACCACAUAUACCCCAUCACAUACUUGUCUCUAAUAUCUAUGUGCACUACCCAGCUGGGACUUUUCUUUCCAGAUCACUUCUGAUGAUUCUGUGAGUGUUUCAAGAACCAUAACUGAAGUUGUGGAAAAUUAAGAGGAGGUUGAUGCAUGUCCUGGACUAUUGAUAUGGGACAGAGUUGAUGGGUCCCAAGCAAAAUUUCAGAGGGCAGGAAAUUAUUCUUCUACUAGUUACUGAUCAAGACCCACAGGAAACAUGUUCCUAGUGAGAUACAAUGUAUCCUACUAAUUCCCAUGCCCAAUAACUAUAAAAAUGGCCUCUGUACUCACACAACGAUGUCACAUGUUCAUUUGAGUGACAAAGGAUGGGUCACAGCUAAGACCACCCAGCAUUGGCUAAAACAUGCUCAGAAGUCUCAUCAUUCUUGUAUCUAACUGUUCCUUCCACUUCUUCUUAGUGGUCAGGACCUACCAUCACAUGGCUCCCCUCACAGCCCUGGUGACCAGUACCUUGACAGUAGAGGCCAGAGUGAAGUUGCCUCUUUUUGCUUUCCAGUCACAUUGUCAUUAUCUGAACAUUCCUCUUCCCUUAGUAUCUCCUCUUUUAGUUUGCAAGAAGUAUUGCUUAAAAAUUUAAAAAGAACACAAAUUAAAAUAAAUUGAACAUUAGUUUCUUCACUGUAUUCUUGCUGUAAUGCCAAUUUUUAUGUCUACCAGAAGAUUUGGGAUUGAAAACAGGAAAGUAUAUAUUCUUAUUUAGCUCCAUGCUUGUGUUUUUGUGCAUGUCAGUGAUACAAUGUACACACACAUACAUAUGCUUAUAUUAUAUUAAAAAUAUAUACUAGCAUGUGAGCUCUAAAGAGGACAAGGACUGCCCAUUUUCUUACAUUUGUGUUCUCAAUGCAUAUUAGGGUAACAGUCAUGGAAAAAAAUAUUUGUUAAAUGAUUGUAUAUGCUGGUUGUAUAUCCUAGGCUUUUGGUUUGCAUGUCCUGGAUAUUUUCUGUGGGGCCCCCACAAUCCACUUACCCCUCUUCACUACUACUCUCUGUGCCAUGUGGUGCUUACCCCAGGGACUUCAUCAAAGAGUUCUCUUGCCCUCCAGCUUUCAAUAUGGUUGAACCACUGGGUGUCAUUGGCAAGAUGUUGGAGGAUGGGAAAAAAUUACUCCCACAUCCUCCCUCCCUGAAAGUUCAGCAGAAUUUGUCCAUGUUCCUCUCCCAAAGGCCACAGCAUCUGUCAGGGAAAGUAAUGCAUGGUCCUAGAGCUGUAGUUUUUUCUCAGUCUCAGUGACUAUUCUCUGUAGUUGUAUCUGAAGCCUUUGAGUGGCUGAUGCUCCAGAUAAUUUAGGAUAAUCCUUAAUAGUUCCCUAUAAUCCUAGCAACAUCUUCAUAAAUAUGACUUUUAUUGAAUUUUAAUCAUUUAAACAUAUGAUUAUAACAUGUGUCUCCACUAGGACUCUAAGUGAUACAAGUUAAUUCUUAUUUUUCUAUAGCUUAAGUAACACUUCUACUAUAGUUUCCACUUUUACCUGAAUAAAGAAUAAAAUAUUAUAAUAGCCCUAAUAUUAUCCAAAAGUGAUGAGUCUUGCUGAGAUUUUCCACUUGUCAACGUUUUACCCUUCCAGCUCUAAGGAGCUCCUGCUGUAUUUCCCCAAUUCAAAGCAAAGAUGAUAUCAGAUGAAGGGCAAAAACACAGAAGACUGUAGACAAAGGAAGAGAUUAUAAAGCAUGAUGCACACAAGUACUUUUUCAAAGACGAAACAUACCACCUUGUAUACCCAAAGCAAGUGAACAACAAGUAACAUGAGACUUCCCUGAAGCUACUGUGCUAUGGAACAAUGUAAGUGGGACUUCAUCCCCUUUUACAUCCCAGAAUUUGCAGCUGCCUUAUCACUUGCUUUUUCUUCUAGCAAUAGUAAAUAGAAAUCAAUGAAAUGAAUCACAUCUCAUUUUAAAGCUCCUUUAUUAUUAAAUUCUAAAAGACAGACUUAUCUUUUCCUGAUAAAUAAUUUCUCCAAAGAGUUUUAAGAAAUGACCUUUAGUCUCAACAGAUUUCCUUUUACUUCAAUUGUUUUUAUGUUGUCCUCUAAUUCUUCAAAUUUACGUGUUUUCAAUUCAGACUUCUCAUUAAAAUACAUUAUUCUACAAUUUUCUUUCUCUACUCUUUUUAACUGAUAAGAGUCCCAGCAGCCCUCCACAGAUCUCAACUAUAUGCCUAAUAGUCAUGUUGUUUGGAGUUUACAAACCUCACUGGAGGAGGGAAGUAAUUGGACAUGUGAUGUAAAGCUUCAUAUACAUAGUAAAAUUACCCUCUGCAGCACUAAGAGGGUAUUGGUCACAGCUCCAAAGUAAGUGAAAGAAAGGUUAUUUCCUUCUAAAAUAGCAUAGAAUUCACAAAUUAAGUUAUUGCUCAGGGAUUGCUUCAUAAGGAAGGUGGAAGCAUCUAUUAUUAGCCAAUUUCUCUAUUCUUCUACACAUUCAUGUCUCAAAAAUUAUUUCUAAUGUAUACUUCAUGGAAAAAAUAUAAAUCUUUUAAACACAAUUAUAUAAAAACAUAAACAGAAGAAUAAAAGAGAAAAUAUAUCCAAGUCAGCUUUGAUAAACUUUGAACUAUCUUACUAAUUAAGGUUAAAUGCAGACUUGCACUGUGCUUUAUCAUAGUGUUAAACAUUUUUUUUCAUUGUUAAAAUAUUGGAACAGUUUUCAUUCUUAAAUGACUCAGUUUAAUCUAUCUAGAUGAAAUACAUGUAUUAGUCACUUUGAUUUUAAGACUUUACAGGAAAGUUGAAAGCCACUUGUAUGUUGAUUUUUCAAGUAAUAUAUUAUUAUAGUAGGUUAAUUGCUGCAAUGAGUUAUUCAUACCAAGAAAAGAACAAAAUAAAUUCAGAUCAACUAGAAAUGAAACUGAAUAUGUCAUAAAAACACUCCCUACAAAUAAAAGUCCAGGACCAGAUGGCUUCAUAGGUGAAUUCUGCCAAACAUAUAAAGAGGAUCUGGUGCCCAUCCUCCUUAAACUUUUUCAAAAGGUUGAAGAAGAAGGAACACUCCCAAAGACAUUCUAUGAUGCCACCAUCCCCCUACUUCCAAAACCAGACAAAGAUAACACCAAAAAAGAAAACUAUGAGCCAAUAUCUUUGAUGAAUAUAGAUGCAAAAAUUCUCAACAAAAUUUUAGCCAAUCGAAUCCAACAACAUAUCAAAAAGAUCAUACACCAUGACCAGGCAGGGUUCUUCUCAGGAUCACAAGGAUGGUUCAAAAUUUGAAAAUCAAUCAACAUCAUAUACCACAUUAACAAAAGAAAAGUCAAAAAUCAUAUGAUUAUCUCAAAAGACGCAGAAAAAGUAUUUCAAAAAGUCCAACAUCCUGGAGUUUCUGUCGUGGCUCAGUGGUUAACAAAUCCAACUAGGAACCCUGAGGUUGCAGGUUCGAUCCCUGGCCUUGCUCAGUGGGUUAAGGAUGUGGCGUUGCCAUGAGCUGUGGUGUAGGUUGCAGACGCGGUUUCAAUUUGGACUUGCUAUGUCUCUGGCGUAGGCCGGGGGCUAUAGCUCCGAUUGGACCCCUAGCCUGGGAAUCCCCAUAUGC